UGGGGAAUUUUGGACAAUGGGCGAAAGCCUGAUCCAGCAAUGCCGCGUGUGUGAAGAAGGCCUUCGGGUUGUAAAGCACUUUUGUCCGGAAAGAAAUGGCUCUGGUUAAUACCUGGGGUCGAUGACGGUACCGGAAGAAUAAGGACCGGCUAACUACGUGCCAGCAGCCGCGGUAAUACGUAGGGUCCAAGCGUUAAUCGGAAUUACUGGGCGUAAAGCGUGCGCAGGCGGUUGUGCAAGACCGAUGUGAAAUCCCCGAGCUUAACUUGGGAAUUGCAUUGGUGACUGCACGGCUAGAGUAUGUCAGAGGGGGGUAGAAUUCCACGUGUAGCAGUGAAAUGCGUAGAGAUGUGGAGGAAUACCGAUGGCGAAGGCAGCCCCCUGGGAUAACACUGACGCUCAUGCACGAAAGCGUGGGGAGCAAACAGG
This 429-nucleotide ribosomal RNA is filed under the name Acidobacteriota bacterium. RNAcentral's name for it is "Acidobacteria bacterium partial 16S ribosomal RNA". It matches the Rfam family "Bacterial small subunit ribosomal RNA", at positions 355 to 776 of the family's 1533-position model. The record is from RNAcentral. Lineage: Bacteria; Pseudomonadati; Acidobacteriota.